UCAUGACAAACAUUUUAAGGGAUAUUAGUAGUACACAAUAUGGCCUCAACACGUUUCCUCACUUCUUUUAUUUUUAAAGCGCAUAGAGAUAUAUAUAAACCCAUUGUAUCUAAUCGGAAUUUAUUUACCAGUAAAUUAAACUAUGCCACAUCUAUUUCAGGAGCUGAAGUUUCUAGUAUACUCGAAGAGCGCAUUUUAAGUCACACAUCUAAGAUUAAUUUAGAAGAGACGGGUCAAGUUUUAUCGAUAGGUGAUGGAAUUGCACGUGUUUAUGGAUUAAAAAAUAUUCAAGCAGAAGAGAUGGUUGAAUUUUCCUCUGGACUUAAAGGCAUGGCUCUCAAUUUAGAACCAGAUAAUGUUGGGGUAGUUGUAUUUGGAAAUGAUAAGCUUAUCAAAGAAGGAGAUAUUGUCAAAAGAACUGGGGCUAUUGUUGAUGUACCAGUUGGUGAAGCCUUGUUAGGGAGGGUAGUUGAUGCUUUAGGCAACCCAAUAGACGGGCGAGGUCCAAUAGCUACGACAAAACGUAUAAGGGUUGGAGUUAAAGCUCCAGGCAUUAUCCCUCGAAUAUCGGUCCGAGAACCUAUGCAAACUGGCAUUAAAGCAGUGGACAGCUUGGUGCCCAUAGGAAGAGGUCAGAGGGAGCUUAUUAUAGGCGACCGACAGACUGGCAAAACUGCCAUAGCGAUUGAUACUAUCAUAAACCAAAAGCGUUUUAAUGAAGGUAGCGAUGAGUCCAAAAAAUUAUAUUGCAUAUACGUGGCCAUAGGCCAGAAAAGAUCCACGGUUGCCCAACUAGUUAAAAGGCUUACUGACGCCGGGGCUAUAAAGUACACCAUAGUAGUUAGUGCUACUGCCUCUGACGCUGCCCCGCUUCAAUAUUUGGCACCUUACAGUGGGUGCAGUAUGGGAGAAUUUUUCAGAGACAGUGGAAGGCACGCUUUAAUUAUAUACGAUGAUCUUUCCAAACAAGCCGUAGCUUACCGUCAAAUGUCACUAUUACUCCGUCGACCUCCAGGUCGGGAAGCUUAUCCAGGAGACGUUUUCUAUUUACAUUCACGCUUACUGGAGCGGGCCGCAAAAAUGAGGGACAGUCCAGAUGGAAAAACUAAAGGGGGUUCCCUAACCGCUUUACCAGUCAUAGAAACCCAAGCAGGUGAUGUUAGUGCUUACAUACCUACUAACGUUAUCAGCAUAACAGACGGGCAGAUUUUCUUGGAGACUGAGCUCUUUUAUAAAGGUAUAAGACCGGCGAUUAAUGUGGGCUUAUCUGUUAGUAGGGUUGGGUCAGCGGCUCAAACCAAGUCUAUGAAACAAGUAGCUGGAUCGAUGAAGCUAGAGCUCGCUCAAUAUAGAGAGGUCGCAGCUUUUGCACAAUUUGGCUCUGAUCUUGACGCUUCGACACAACAGUUACUUAAUCGAGGUGUGCGACUCACUGAAUUGCUAAAACAGGGACAAUAUGUCCCCAUGGCCAUAGAAGAUCAAGUCGCUAUAAUAUACACUGGUGUCAAGGGAUUCAUCGAUAAGCUAGACCCUUCAAAAAUAACCAAGUUCGAACGGGAAUUCAGUGCCCACUUUAAGAGUGUUCACUCAGAUUUGCUUAAAAGGAUCAAGGAGGAAGGAAAGAUAGCAGAUGAUGUAGAUGCGGCUAUGCGUAAGAUAGUAUCUGAAUUUGUGGCUCAAUUUACGGCUAGCGAAGCUGUUAUUACUAAAAGUGCUAAAGCUGGAGCUGAGAAAACCGAAGCUAAGCCUUAAACUUAGGGUCGCCAAUUAUGCUAUUGUACUUUACUAUAUUCACAUUUUGCGUUUUAAUCUAAUUAUCAACGAAGGUCUAAAUUUAAAACCACAUGAACUAACUUCACCAAAAUUAAAAUACCACGUAUGGAUCGUGUGAC
This is an RNA transcript of Gordionus sp. m RMFG-2023, 1892 nucleotides long. It is a transcript of the gene named ATP synthase subunit alpha, mitochondrial-like, with no coding region annotated. The record is from RefSeq and is a predicted model, not a curated record. NCBI's taxonomy places the organism in Eukaryota, Metazoa, Nematomorpha, Gordioida, Chordodea, Parachordodidae. The transcript has 12 exons.